This 425-nucleotide ribosomal RNA is filed under the name uncultured prokaryote. Its description in RNAcentral is "bacterial SSU rRNA". It matches the Rfam family "Bacterial small subunit ribosomal RNA", at positions 355 to 796 of the family's 1533-position model. The record is from RNAcentral.
UGAGGAAUAUUGCACAAUGGGGGCAACCCUGAUGCAGCAACGCCGCGUGGAGGAUGAAGGCUUUUGGGUUGUAAACUCCUUUUCUGCGGGAAGAGAGAGGACGGUACCGCAGGAAUAAGUCACGGCUAACUACGUGCCAGCAGCCGCGGUAAUACGUAGGUGGCGAGCGUUAUCCGGAAUUACUGGGCGUAAAGCGCACGCAGGCGGCUAGGAAAGUCUGACGUGAAAGCUCCCGGCUUAACUGGGAGAGGUCGUUGGAAACUGGUUAGCUUGAGGCAAUGAGAGGGGUGCGGAAUUCCCGGUGUAGUGGUGGAAUGCGUAGAGAUCGGGGGGAACACCAGUGGCGAAAGCGGCACCCUGGCAUUGACCUGACGCUCAGGUGCGAAAGCGUGGGGAGCGAACGGGAUUAGAUACCCCCGUAGUCC